This is a long non-coding RNA of Passer domesticus (house sparrow), 3449 nucleotides long. RefSeq lists it as uncharacterized. The record is from RefSeq and is a predicted model, not a curated record. The transcript is spliced from 2 exons. NCBI's taxonomy places the organism in Eukaryota, Metazoa, Chordata, Aves, Passeriformes, Passeridae.
CCCGCGGAGCAGCGCCGGGGCCGCCGGGCCCGGCCGGGGCCUGUGGCCGCCGCGCCGUUGCCAUGGCGCUGCAAACACGGCCCGGGCAGCCCGGCCUGGCACCGCGCUCCCUCAGGGAGGACAGUCCCGAAGGAGAGGCAUGAGAAGCAGAAAUCUGAGGAUGCUUGUAGCCAGAAAUGAAACUAAACACUCCCAGAAUGUUAGUUGCUGCCUUGGCUCCAGCAUGGAAGAAAAAGUCACGUUUCUGGUGGGGUCAGCAAAACCUAUGUGCAAAGAAGGAAUUCAGGGUCCUAUAUGAGGAUUUCAGAGGGAUUUAGGUGUUUCACCACUGGGAACUGAAAACCAUCCUACCUAGCAAGUACCUUAUCCUAGAACUGCAUAAAUCCUUCAGGGUUUUUUGGCAUAAAAGUUCACUCAAAGGUUCUCUGUUUGUUUUCAGACCAGCACUGCUUUUAGCAGCUUGGCAAAAAUCCCACUGGGAUCAGUUGUACAAGAUGUCAUGGAUGCAAGGUACAUGAAGGGCUCCUUUGAGAAGCCUAAUCCAUCAGCCAGGCUCGGGAAGUGCCCAAAAGGCACUAAAACCUUGCCAUUCCCAGAAAACUACCAUUUGUGCCCCCUUUCACAGAGCAGAGUAGUAAAUCCAGUUGUAACGCUCAACUGUGAAAAAAUGUUUUAUUUUAACUCAUACAUGACUUUGGUGGAAUCCAUGGUAAGUUAAAACAGAACAAAUGCACGUGCCCAGGGACUGCAGCUUAAAGUCCAGAAGCUGAUGAAUGUCAAUAAUAAACAAGCAGCAAAUCUGUUAUCAUAGAGGCAGGGAAAAUGGCUUCAUCUCCUAGAAACACAGGAUAUUUUGCACCCUCUACUCCAGAUGUGCAUUUCCACUUUGGGGGGAUGCCUGCCCAAACACAAUCACUGGUCUAGUAGCUAAAUGCCAGAAUAAUACUUCUUCUAAUUGUCUUAAUGGAAUAUUGUUAGCUGUGUGAUUAGCUUUUAAGGGUGGUUUAGGUCAGGGGGAGUCUCCCUUAAGGGGACAAUAGUAUUUCCAAAAGCCUAAAAGAUAAGCUGAAUAAUGUGUUCUUCAAGAUAUGCAUUUCAGGCAAAUGUUUCAUAUAUAUCUGAAGAGCAUAGUCAACAGAAAUAAAGAAUAAAAUAUGAAGAUUUAGACAAGUUACCUAUGGACAAUUAAAAUAUCAGUAUUCUGAUGAAGUAUUAACUGUUACAUUCUCUGUAUGCAGACUCUUUCAUCAAGAUAUGACAAAUAUUAAGUUAACAUUGAAUUUCCUAGUGCUGUGUAUCAGGACAUAUUCUACUGUCACUAUGAUAUUUAAAAUAGGUAUACUAAAUGUAUAUGUAAGAGAAAUAUGCAUAACAGCCCAUAAAAUGCAAAGUUAAACCUUUCCAAGAGGUAGAAGAAUUGCACUCCAUUGUAUUAUGGGCUUGGAUUGUCUCAUAAGCAAACUACUUAAUAUGAUUAAAUGUUUAAGCUAAUAUUCAUUCCACUAAUUUUCUCCCUGCCCCUCUUUCUGAUGGAGGUAUAAAUAUAGUCUGCAGUGUAGAACUUUCUCCUAAACUUCCCUGAUUGCUUGCAAUUUUUUAAGAAAAAACAACAGAAAUGAGAUUAAUGAGCCUUCCUUUUUUUAAAAUUAGAAGUGGAAGCUAUGAGGCAGGUCAGAAACAGCUGAAAUCUGGAAAUGAGUCAAUUAAGAAAAAUAAAAUUUAAAAAGAUCCCUUUCCUAUCCUUCUGCCAUCAGGUAUAUUUUGACAUAAAACUCUUAGGUCUUUGUUCUGUUUCAACAUGCUUCAAAGAUUACAUUUAGGAUUAAGCUUAUCAGAAAAAUAUACAUUGUAUUCUCUCAUAGAGAAUCUAUUAGCAGUCAUCAUCACUUUUUCAUUAUCUUACAACAGCACACAUUUAGGUCAAAUAUCUUAUGUGUGUGCAUUUCAGUCCUGAUUUUACAUUGCCAGUUAAAAGUUCACCAGCUAGUAAAGCUGAGAUAUAAAGAUCAAGCUCAUUUUCCUUUUUCACAUUUUUCUUUCCAUGCUCUUAUUUUAUUUUAAUUUUUAUUAUUAUUUAACUUAGCAGACCUGCAGGCCUACAGGAUGUUUCAUAAAUAAGUCAAAGCUGUGACCUAUCCCAAAAAGCAUCUUACCCUAUAGUAAAGAUGAAUGCUAGACAGGAUGGGGAAUAAGUUCCAAAAAAGGAGAUACCCAUAAAAUAUUAGACAAAAGAAAGAAAAAACACUAAAAGUAGGCUUGAAAUUGUUAGAAAAUUUAGAAAAUGGUAAUCUAUCAGAAGGCCAUCACCAGAAGAGGCUGCAAUGGAAGACAAAUGGAAGGAAAACAUCGAUUGGUCCACCUCAUACCUGCUGGCAUUUCCCUCCUCUGCUUAAUUUAUGAAGAACCAUUUGGAGAGCUGAACUUUCAGUCAAGACUUUAAUCUGUCCUCCACACAUCUGUGGAAUUUAUGCUUCCAACCAUUUGUCUGUCAGGGCAAGGAUUUCAAAGUAUUAUCCAGGCAAAGCAGAUCAAAACUUCUGAGACAACUUUGUCCACAAGGAACCACACAUGUAAACUAUGCCAGCGUGCUGGAUGAACCAGCUUCCUUGGGACUCAGGUGUUCCAGUCCACCAAAGGUCCAGUCAAGAGGCAUAAUGAAGAAGCUCCAGCAGAGACAAUAGCAUAUGCCAAUAAUGUCAAAUGUCCUGGUGGUAGAUGUCAAAUACCAGCAAGAAACACUAAACACAUGCAUGUCUACCCUUUCUUGCUAUCAAGCAGGUGUGAACAGUAGUCCCCAAACCAGGAUUCCCCAGCUGAGUUAACCAAGUGAAAUAUUACUGAUGCAUCAAAUCUGGAUAGCAGCAGUGCUGUUUGAGACAAAACAUCUCACUGACCACCAGUGAGACGGUGUUAGAUUUUUGUUACAUUGCUGUGGCUGCUGUAGAGAUCUAGAAUGAAACAGACUGGGAGACUCAUCAAGCAGAAAAGAAGAAUCAGGAGGAAAAAAAGAAAAAUAUUUCAUGUUCCUCCACUUCAAGAACACAGCAGUGUCUACUCAACAGGUGCUGAGAAUUGUAUGAGAAUCCAUAAGUAGAAGUGCUCCUUAAGAUUUCAAUAAUGCUUCAGAAAAUCAUCCAAAAAUUACAGCCAUCUUUUUUUUUUUUUUGUAGUUUUUUUUACUUUCCUAACUACCUAUUGCUCUCCUAGACUCCAGGAGUACCUAGCUGAAAAAUAAAGAAUGCUUUAAGUUACCAAAUCCUCAUCCAGUCUUCAUUAAACAGACUGAAAAUAAAAUUAAAUUCAAAUGCUGUCAUUCUGACAUUGUUUCAAAUAUGUUACAUGGGAAUACUUAGACUUUUCCAAUUUGAGUUUAAAAAAGUUGAUGUUUUCCCUUUCUUGUUUACUAAUGUCUUAAGAACAUCAAGUAUGAAUAAAAUGCAUACAAUGUU